RNAcentral lists this ribosomal RNA (167 nucleotides) under Staphylococcus aureus. Its description in RNAcentral is "partial 23S ribosomal RNA". It matches the Rfam family "Bacterial large subunit ribosomal RNA", at positions 2756 to 2925 of the family's 2925-position model. The record is from RNAcentral. Lineage: Bacteria; Bacillati; Bacillota; Bacilli; Caryophanales; Staphylococcaceae.
UGGACGGGAUAAGUGCUGAAAGCAUCUAAGCAUGAAGCCCCCCUCAAGAUGAGAUUUCCCAACUUCGGUUAUAAGAUCCCUCAAAGAUGAUGAGGUUAAUAGGUUCGAGGUGGAAGCAUGGUGACAUGUGGAGCUGACGAAUACUAAUCGAUCGAAGACUUAAUCAA